GACGAACGCUGGCGGCGUGCUUAACACAUGCAAGUCGAACGGAAAGGCCCUGCUUUUGUGGGGUGCUCGAGUGGCGAACGGGUGAGUAACACGUGAGUAACCUGCCCUUGACUUUGGGAUAACUUCAGGAAACUGGGGCUAAUACCGGAUAGGAGCUCCUGCUGCAUGGUGGGGGUUGGAAAGUUUCGGCGGUUGGGGAUGGACUCGCGGCUUAUCAGCUUGUUGGUGGGGUAGUGGCUUACCAAGGCUUUGACGGGUAGCCGGCCUGAGAGGGUGACCGGCUACAUUGGACUGAGAUACGGACCAGACUCCUACGGGAGGCAGCAGGGGGGAAUAUUGCACAAUGGGCGGAAGCCUGAUGCAGCAACGCCGCGUGCGGGAUGACGGCCUUCGGGUUGUAAACCGCUUUCGCCUGUGACGAAGCGUGAGUGACGGUAAUGGGUAAAGAAGCACCGGCUAACUACGUG
This 467-nucleotide ribosomal RNA is filed under the name uncultured bacterium. RNAcentral describes it as "partial 16S ribosomal RNA". It matches the Rfam family "Bacterial small subunit ribosomal RNA", at positions 28 to 507 of the family's 1533-position model. The record is from RNAcentral.